This 410-nucleotide ribosomal RNA is filed under the name Yersinia massiliensis. Its description in RNAcentral is "bacterial SSU rRNA". It matches the Rfam family "Bacterial small subunit ribosomal RNA", at positions 58 to 464 of the family's 1533-position model. The record is from RNAcentral. Lineage: Bacteria; Pseudomonadati; Pseudomonadota; Gammaproteobacteria; Enterobacterales; Yersiniaceae.
CAAGUCGAGCGGCAGCGGAAAGUAGCUUGCUACUUUGCCGGCGAGCGGCGGACGGGUGAGUAAUGUCUGGGGAUCUGCCUGAUGGAGGGGGAUAACUACUGGAAACGGUAGCUAAUACCGCAUGACCUCGAAAGAGCAAAGUGGGGGACCUUCGGGCCUCACGCCAUCGGAUGAACCCAGAUGGGAUUAGCUAGUAGGUGGGGUAAUGGCUCACCUAGGCGACGAUCCCUAGCUGGUCUGAGAGGAUGACCAGCCACACUGGAACUGAGACACGGUCCAGACUCCUACGGGAGGCAGCAGUGGGGAAUAUUGCACAAUGGGCGCAAGCCUGAUGCAGCCAUGCCGCGUGUGUGAAGAAGGCCUUCGGGUUGUAAAGCACUUUCAGCGAGGAGGAAGGCAUUGUGGUUAAU